AAGGCAGUAACUGGGUUCCAGCAUGUACCAACAUGUCUUUUCUGAGGAGCUAUGAUGCAUUCAAGGGUCCUCCUUUCGCUUUCAUGACCAGUUCUAAAACAUCUGUCGUGCUCAGUGUGACAACAUGGUUCCUAAUGGUUCAGCUCUGCCUCGGUCAACACAGAGCCCUACUCGGCACAACCCCCAACAUUAAACACAUUGUGGUCGGAAGGUGCUACAAUUACAUCACACUCAUUAACGCCACUUCAAGGCAUGACUGUGAGGAUAUCUGGAGACAUUUUGAGGAGGCGGUUGUUCGUCAGUCUUCUUGUAACGUGACG
This 320-nucleotide long non-coding RNA is filed under the name Sphaeramia orbicularis (orbiculate cardinalfish). Its description in RNAcentral is "lncRNA (ENSSORG00005005644.1)". The record is from RNAcentral. Lineage: Eukaryota; Metazoa; Chordata; Actinopteri; Kurtiformes; Apogonidae.